UACGUAGGGUGCGAGCGUUUAAUCGGAAUUACUGGGCGUAAAGCGUGCGCAGGCGGUUCGCUGUGUCCUGUGUGAAAGCCCCGGGCUUAACCUGGGAAUGGCAUGGGAAACUGGCGGGCUGGAGUGUGGCAGAGGGGGGUGGAAUUCCGCGUGUAGCAGUGAAAUGCGUAGAGAUGCGGAGGAACACCGAUGGCGAAGGCAGCCCCCUGGGCUAACACUGACGCUCAGGCACGAAAGCGUGGGGAGCAAACAGG
Molecule: ribosomal RNA, 254 nt
Filed under: uncultured bacterium
Lineage: Bacteria
Description: partial 16S ribosomal RNA
Rfam family: Bacterial small subunit ribosomal RNA
Source: RNAcentral